Molecule: ribosomal RNA, 479 nt
Filed under: uncultured bacterium
Lineage: Bacteria
Description: SSU rRNA
Rfam family: Bacterial small subunit ribosomal RNA
Source: RNAcentral
AGGACGAACGCUGGCGGCGUGCUUAACACGUGCAAGUCGAACGAUGAACCACUUCGGUGGGGAUUAGUGGCGAACGGGUGAGUAACACGUGGGCAAUCUGCCCUUCACUCUGGGACAAGCCCUGGAAACGGGGUCUAAUACCGGAUAAUACUUCCACUCGCAUGGGUGGGGGUUAAAAGCUCCGGCGGUGAAGGAUGAGCCCGCGGCCUAUCAGCUUGUUGGUGAGGUAAUGGCCUACCAAGGCGACGACGGGUAGCCGGCCUGAGAGGGCGAGUCGGCCGACACUGGGACUGAGACACGGCCCAGACUCCUACGGGAGGCAGCAGUGGGGAAUAUUGCGCAAUGGGCGGAAGCCUGACGCAGCGACGCCGCGUGAGGGAUGAAGGCCUUCGGGUCGUAAACCUCUUUCAGCAGGGAAGAAGCUUUUGGGUGACGGUACCUGCAGAAGAAGCACCGGCUAACUACGUGCCAGCAGCCGC